RNAcentral lists this ribosomal RNA (534 nucleotides) under Triticum aestivum (bread wheat). RNAcentral's name for it is "partial small subunit ribosomal RNA". Lineage: Eukaryota; Viridiplantae; Streptophyta; Magnoliopsida; Poales; Poaceae. The record is from RNAcentral.
AUGUGUAUCCCAAAGAGAUUUGGUGGAAUGGGCUCGAGGGAUAUCCACUAUUUUAACCUUGUCUUGUUAGCUAAGCAAGCUUGGCGACUAAUUGAGAACCUUGAUUCUCUCUGUGCUACUGUGUUGCGUGCAAGGUACCUCCCAUCAGGAGAUUUGUUGAACGCGGAGUUGAAGAAAGGGAGCUCUUUUACAUGGCAAAGUAUAUGGGCUAGAAUUAAUACAUUAAAAAGUGGUCAUAUAUGGCGUGUAGGAGAUGGAACUAAUAUUGAUAUCUGGAAAGACAAAUGGAUUCCAAAUAGUGCAUCACGUAAAUUUAUAAUGGGUCAGAACAUCCUUAGUAGGGUCCUUAUUGAUCCUAUCACAAAUCACUGGGAUGUGGAUUUAGUGAGGCGGACCUUUUUUCAAGUGGAUGUUCAAAGGAUUCUUGCUAUCCCUUUACCAUUUUCUGGCAUGCAAGAUUUUGUUGCUUGGAACCUGACUCGUACAAACACCUUUUCUGUGCACUCGGCAUAUUAUGCAGAAUGGAAGGGCUAA